Non-coding RNA from Callorhinus ursinus (northern fur seal), 458 nucleotides. NCBI's taxonomy places the organism in Eukaryota, Metazoa, Chordata, Mammalia, Carnivora, Otariidae. The record is from RefSeq and is a predicted model, not a curated record.
CCAGCCUCCCGCCCGCAGUUCUCCGUCGACGCGGGCUACGCUGGGAGUCCCUGGCUCGCCGAGAAGACCUUAGAAAGAUCUAAGGUUAUGACUCAAGAGAGCCAUCCAGUGGCUUCAUCCCCAUCCGGACCUGGUUAAGAUGACAAGAUUGUAGACUUUGAGAUGGUGCUGUAAGGGGAUGAGAUGUUUGGUGGCCUUGAGAAGAUGUUUUAAGAAAACCUCCCAAUAACCCUUGAAAUGACAGUACAUCUUUACUGGGAUCUCUCUCCUGAAUUAUGCUUAUUUUUAUUCUCGAAUUAUGUUAAGGAUCCAGAUCUACUCUAGGACUACUGACUACAUAGAGCUAAGUAAUACUAGUUUACUGAAAAGAAUUGCUCCCUCUAGUGAAUUCACACUAUUACUUCACUUUUUGGCACUGCGGCAUUGCAUAAUUUAAUAAAUGAUAUAAAUGAUGAUGA